Molecule: unclassified non-coding RNA, 296 nt
Filed under: Hevea brasiliensis (rubber tree)
Lineage: Eukaryota; Viridiplantae; Streptophyta; Magnoliopsida; Malpighiales; Euphorbiaceae
Source: RNAcentral
GGAGCCCCAAAGAACAGGAAAACUCACUGAUUAUGAGAAACAGAGAAUGAAGAGAAUCGAAGAAAACAGAGCAAGAAUGGAGGCUAUGGGUCUGCACAAAAUGGCAACUUCUUUGAUGGGUUCUUCCCCAAAACCCCAGAAGAAAGGCAAGGACAGAAAGGGAAAAAAGAAAGUGGCUGAUGAAGAUGAAGAUUACGAUCCAGUUCAAAGUGAGGACCUUUCUUGUGAUACAGGUGAAGAGGAUGAUGGGGACUUUGAAGUUUCAAAGUCCCAAUUGAAAAAGUCAAAGAAAAAAA